AAUUGACGGGGGCCCGCACAAGCGGUGGAGCAUGUGGUUUAAUUCGACGCAACGCGAAGAACCUUACCUGGGCUAGACAACGGUGGACCUCCCCAGAGAUGGGGAUUUCCCUUCGGGGACUGCCGGAUCAGGUGCUGCAUGGCUGUCGUCAGCUCGUGUCGUGAGAUGUUGGGUUAAGUCCCGCAACGAGCGCAACCCCCGCCUUUAGUUGCUACCAUUCAGUUGAGCACUCUAAAGGGACCGCCGGCGUUAAGCCGGAGGAAGGUGGGGAUGACGUCAAGUCCUCAUGGCCCUUAUGUCCAGGGCUACACACACGCUACAAUGGUCGGUACAAUGGGUUGCUAAGCCGCGAGGUGGAGCCAAUCCCCCAAAGCCGGCCUCAGUUCAGAUUGCAGGCUGCAACUCGCCUGCAUGAAGCUGGAGUUGCUAGUAAACGCGCGUCAGCUAUAGUGCGUUGAAUACGUUCUCGGGCCUU
RNAcentral lists this ribosomal RNA (475 nucleotides) under uncultured delta proteobacterium. Its description in RNAcentral is "bacterial SSU rRNA". It matches the Rfam family "Bacterial small subunit ribosomal RNA", at positions 908 to 1382 of the family's 1533-position model. Lineage: Bacteria; Deltaproteobacteria. The record is from RNAcentral.